CCUACGGGUGUCAGCAGUGGGGGAUAUUGCACAAUGGGGGAAACCCUGAUGCAGCGACGCCGCGUGGGUGAAGAAGCGCCUCGGCGCGUAAAGCCCUGUCAGCAGGGAAGAAAAUUACGGUACCUGUACAAGAAGCCCCGGCUAACUACGUGCCAGCACCCGCGGUAAUACGUAGGGGGCAAGCGUUAUACGGAUUUACUGGGUGUAAAGGGGGCGCAGUCGGCGAUGCAAGCCAGGAGUGAAUGUCCGGGGCCCAACCCCGGGAUUGCUCUUGGAACUGUGAGGCUAGAGUUCAGGAGGGGCAGGCGGAAUUCCUGGUGUAGCGGUGAAAUGCGUAGAUAUCAGGAGGAACACCGGUGGCGAAGGCGGCCUGCUGGACUGCAACUGACGUUGAGGCCCGAAAGCGUGGGGAGCAAACAGGAUUAGAUACCCCAGUAGUC
RNAcentral lists this ribosomal RNA (440 nucleotides) under uncultured bacterium. RNAcentral describes it as "partial 16S ribosomal RNA". It matches the Rfam family "Bacterial small subunit ribosomal RNA", at positions 338 to 795 of the family's 1533-position model. The record is from RNAcentral.